GACGAACGCUGGCGGCGUGCUUAACACAUGCAAGUCGAACGGAAAGGCCCUGCUUUUGUGGGGUGCUCGAUUGGCGAACGGGUGAGUAACACGUGAGUAACCUGCCCUUGACUUUGGGAUAACUUCAGGAAACUGGGGCUAAUACCGGAUAGGAGCUCCUGCUGCAUGGUGGGGGUUGGAAAGUUUCGGCGGUUGGGGAUGGACUCGCGGCUUAUCAGCUUGUUGGUGGGGUAGUGGCUUACCAAGGCUUUGACGGGUAGCCGGCCUGAGAGGGUGACCGGCCACAUUGGGACUGAGAUACGGCCCAGACGCCUACGGGAGGCAGCAGUGGGGAAUAUUGCACAAUGGGCGGAAGCCUGAUGCAGCAACGCCGCGUGCGGGAUGACGGCCUUCGGGUUGUAAACCGCUUUCGCCUGUGACGAAGCGUGAGUGACGGUAAUGGGUAAAGAAGCACCGGCUAACUACGUG
This 468-nucleotide ribosomal RNA is filed under the name uncultured bacterium. RNAcentral describes it as "partial 16S ribosomal RNA". It matches the Rfam family "Bacterial small subunit ribosomal RNA", at positions 28 to 507 of the family's 1533-position model. The record is from RNAcentral.